This 291-nucleotide ribosomal RNA is filed under the name uncultured bacterium. RNAcentral describes it as "partial 16S ribosomal RNA". It matches the Rfam family "Bacterial small subunit ribosomal RNA", at positions 506 to 796 of the family's 1533-position model. The record is from RNAcentral.
UGCCAGCAGCCGCGGUAAUACGAAGGGUGCAAGCGUUAAUCGGAAUUACUGGGCGUAAAGCGCGCGUAGGUGGUUCAGUAAGUUGGAAGUGAAAUCCCCGGGCUCAACCUGGGAACUGCUUUCAAAACUGCURARCUAGARUACGGUAGAGGGUGGUGGAAUUUCCCGUGUAGCGGUGAAAUGCGUAGAUAUAGGAAGGAACACCAGUGGCGAAGGCGACCACCUGGACUGAUACUGACACUGAUGUGCGAAAGCGUGGGGAGCAAACAGGAUUAGAUACCCUGGUAGUCC